Molecule: ribosomal RNA, 301 nt
Filed under: uncultured bacterium
Lineage: Bacteria
Description: partial 16S ribosomal RNA
Rfam family: Bacterial small subunit ribosomal RNA
Source: RNAcentral
CAGCCGCCGCGGGAAUACAGAGGGUGCGAGCGUUAAUCGGAUUUACUGGGCGUAAAGCGUGCGUAGGCGGCUUCUUAAGUCGGAUGUGAAAUCCCUGAGCUUAACUUAGGAAUUGCAUUCGAUACUGGGAAGCUAGAGUAUGGGAGAGGAUGGUAGAAUUCCAGGUGUAGCGGUGAAAUGCGUAGAGAUCUGGAGGAAUACCGAUGGCGAAGGCAGCCAUCUGGCCUAAUACUGACGCUGAGGUACGAAAGCAUGGGGAGCAAACAAGAUUAGAUACCCCCGUAGUCCCUGUCUCUUAUAC